CCUACGGGGGGCUGCAGUGGGGAAUAUUGCGCAAUGGGCGAAAGCCUGACGCAGCGACGCCGCGUGAGGGAUGAAGGUCUUCGGAUCGUAAACCUCUGUCAGCAGGGAAGAACGGUCACUGUGCUAAUCAGCAGUGAAUUGACGGUACCUGCAAAGGAAGCACCGGCUAACUCCGUGCCAGCAGCCUCGGUAAUACGGAGGGUGCGUGCGUUAAUCGGAAUUACUGGGCCUAAAGCGCUCGUAAGCGUUAUGUCCAGUCAAGGGUGAAAUCCCCGCGCUCAACGUGGGAACUGCCUUUGAAACUGGCAAACUGGAGUGUGUGAGAGGAUAGUGGAAUUCCAGGUGUAGGAGUGAAAGCCGUAGAUAUCUGGAGGAACAUCAGUGGCGAAGGCGACUAUCUGGCACAUAACUGACGCUGAGGAGCGAAAGCGUGGGUAGCAAACAGGAUUAGAUACCCUUGUAGUC
This 465-nucleotide ribosomal RNA is filed under the name uncultured bacterium. Its description in RNAcentral is "partial 16S ribosomal RNA". It matches the Rfam family "Bacterial small subunit ribosomal RNA", at positions 338 to 795 of the family's 1533-position model. The record is from RNAcentral.